Long non-coding RNA from Hibiscus syriacus, 903 nucleotides. RefSeq lists it as uncharacterized. The transcript is spliced from 2 exons. NCBI's taxonomy places the organism in Eukaryota, Viridiplantae, Streptophyta, Magnoliopsida, Malvales, Malvaceae. The record is from RefSeq and is a predicted model, not a curated record.
UUUGUCGUUCCCUCUUUUUCUAGUUAAAAAGAGAAACAGAAGUUCUCUCAAACUCUCUCCUAUAUGCUCCUUGCCGAAGGAGGCACAAAGCCUCCGGCCACCAUGAACCAACGUUACUGAUGGCCAACUACGGUGGCUGUCAAUCAAAUUGAAACCUGAAAAGAAACUACUCCCCCUCCUAAACCUAGAUCCAAACCCUUUUAAGCCAAAAAAACUCACGAAAUACCCUAGAUCUAAGGAUUUACCUUAGAAAAACACCACCUUUCGGUGACGCUGGACUUGUCAGUGAGACUAGGGACGGGAAAAGAAUCUAUAAUAUUUUGCAUUUGGUUUUUGGCUUCUUUUGGCUUUCGGUGCUCUGACCGAGGAGGGGACAACGCCAGGGGACAUGUUUUACUGGUGGAGGUGAUGUGAGCAAGGAACAGGUAAAAACUUUUACCUCGAGGCUUCUUUCAUUUGUUUCUGUGGUGACCGGUGACUGUAGCAGUCCUCGGGAGUUAAGGAGUCAUGGGUGGGAGCUUGAGCCUGGCGCAUGCAUAUCAUGACCAUAAAGAUCGACGGGGGCGUGGAGGCAACGGUGGGUUAAACAAGGUUUAAGGAUGAAACCAUAUUCAUCAUCAAAUUUGGGUCGUUGGAUCUGAUCAGAUCAAAUGGUUGGUAACGCGACGGCUGGAGUGUUUCACUAGGGUCUUGGAAAACCCUAAAAAUGUGUAAAUCCAUUUGAUUGCUCUCUAACCUGACGAUGGAGAUAGUGCGACACUGAGGGAAAAUAAUGAAACCGAUAGUGCGACACUGAGGGAAAAGAAUGAAACCCUAGCUCACUUCCCUUUCAUACGUGGGCCAUUAUUGGGCCUCCUUGAUUUGUAAUGGACAUUUAUAAUUUAAUUAGUUUACUUUCUUUCU